Molecule: ribosomal RNA, 492 nt
Filed under: uncultured bacterium
Lineage: Bacteria
Description: partial 16S ribosomal RNA
Rfam family: Bacterial small subunit ribosomal RNA
Source: RNAcentral
GACGAACGCUGGCGGCGUGCUUAACACAUGCAAGUCGAACGGAAAGGCCCCCACUUUUUUGGUGGGGGUGCUCGAGUGGCGAACGGGUGAGUAACACGUGGGUGAUCUGCCCUGUACUUCGGGAUAAGCUUGGGAAACUGGUUCUAAUACCGGAUAGGACCAUGGUUUAUUGUCUCAUGGUGGAAAAAUUAUUGUUUUGGUGCAGGAUGAGCUCGCGGCCUAUCAGCUUGUUGGUGGGGUAAUGGCCUACCAAGGCGUCGACGGGUAGCCGGCCUGAGAGGGUGGACGGCCACAUUGGGACGGAGAUACGGCCCAGACUCCUACGGGAGGCAGCAGUGGGGAUUAUUGCACAAGGGGCGCAAGCCUGAUGCAGCGACGCCGCGUGGGGGAUGACGGCCUUCGGGUGGUAAACUCCUUUCGUUAGGGACGAAGCCGCACCUUUUUGGGGUGUGGUGACGGUACCUUUGUUAAGAAGCACCGGCUAACUACGUG